This 544-nucleotide non-coding RNA is filed under the name Pongo abelii (Sumatran orangutan). Lineage: Eukaryota; Metazoa; Chordata; Mammalia; Primates; Hominidae. The record is from RNAcentral.
AGUAACCAGCCUGUAACUCCUGGGGAGAAGGGGGCGGAGAGGGGGAAAAUGCGGGAGAGAGGGAGAGAGCGAGGCAACCCGGGGCUCAAAACAGUCAAAUUCAAAUUAAAAGGUCGAGACACGAAUCAGGAAACGGAAUCUGGAGAACAACUUGUCUUUCCCGUCGCCCCACAUUUUUCCUUGGACAGAGCCUAGGGUUCAGACUUUCCGAAGGGCUGGAGUUUGGCGGGGAAAGGACUGGAGCCCAGCGCCCUGGCGUGGAGGAGUGAGGAGGCUAGACCGCUUCUAAGGAGGCCCAAGCCCGCUGCGGCUAGAAGCCCGCAGAAAGAAAUCCGCCGAAUUUCCCCAUCCAGGAGUGGAGAGAGAAGACGCAGGGAUUCCUGAACCUCCGGAAAACUGGAAGGAAAUGUAGAGUGUAUGAUUUGCUUGCAGGACCGGCCAGGGGAGAUUUGAAAUGGUUUUGUGUUUUCAUUUGCCGGGUCACCGUGGCCUCAGCAUGGGGGUUAUCCAGGGCAAGGUUAGGCUGUUUAGGCCCCAGACUUGG